GCCCGGGUGGCUCAGUCAGUUGAGCAUCCGACUUCGGCUCAGGUCAUGAUCUCGUGGUUUGUGGGUUCGAGCCCCACAUCGGGCU
This 85-nucleotide transfer RNA is filed under the name Felis catus (domestic cat). It matches the Rfam family "tRNA". Rfam says of the family: Transfer RNA (tRNA) molecules are approximately 80 nucleotides in length. Their secondary structure includes four short double-helical elements and three loops (D, anti-codon, and T loops). Lineage: Eukaryota; Metazoa; Chordata; Mammalia; Carnivora; Felidae. The record is from Rfam by way of RNAcentral. RNAcentral also lists the same sequence under 1 other name.